GCAAACUUGGUCAUUUAGAGGAAGUAAAAGUCGUAACAAGGUAACCGUAGGUGAACCUGCGGUUGGAUCAUUACAAAAUUUGAUUGAGAUUGUUGGUCUUUCGGGACCUUCAACUCUCUUCAACACCAUGUGAACUGUUUAUGUCUUUGGCAAGUUAUGCUAGUGUUCGUGAAGGAAAAGUCAGUUUGAUUUUUUUUUUGAGCAUUAGCAGAGUUUCAAAUUCCCAACCAAAGGCCUCUAGUUUAGAGGUCGGGAACUUUGAAAGCUUGCCCCUUGUAUUAAAAAUUAUUUGUUCAUUUGACUGACAAAUAAAUUAUGUUUAAAUUAUUAAACAACUUUUGGCAACGGAUCUCUUGGCUCUCGCAUCGAUGAAGAACGCAGC
RNAcentral lists this unclassified non-coding RNA (382 nucleotides) under uncultured fungus. Its description in RNAcentral is "partial contains small subunit ribosomal RNA, internal transcribed spacer 1, and 5.8S ribosomal RNA". The stretch from base 1 to 73 matches the Rfam family "Eukaryotic small subunit ribosomal RNA", at positions 1759 to 1831 of the family's 1831-position model. The record is from RNAcentral. Lineage: Eukaryota; Fungi.